This 327-nucleotide ribosomal RNA is filed under the name uncultured Leptolinea sp. RNAcentral describes it as "bacterial SSU rRNA". It matches the Rfam family "Bacterial small subunit ribosomal RNA", at positions 1039 to 1382 of the family's 1533-position model. Lineage: Bacteria; Bacillati; Chloroflexota; Anaerolineae; Anaerolineales; Anaerolineaceae. The record is from RNAcentral.
UGCUGCAUGGCUGUCGUCAGCUCGUGUCGUGAGAUGUUCGGUUAAGUCCGCUAACGAGCGCAACCCUCGCUGUGUGUUAUAUGUGUCACACGGGACUGCCGGUCUUAAGCCGGAGAAGUGGGGAUGAUGUCAAGUCAGCAUGGCCUUUAUAUCCUGGGCUACACACACGCUACAAUGGCCAACACAAUAGGUUGCUAAGCCGCGAGGUGGCGCCAAUCCAUAAAGUUGGUCUCAGUUCAGAUUGUAGGCUGCAACCCGCCUGCAUGAAGAUGGAGUUGCUAGUAACCGCAGGUCAGCUAUACUGCGGUGAAUACGUUCCCGGGGCUU